This 259-nucleotide non-coding RNA is filed under the name Enterococcus sp. RNAcentral's name for it is "T-box sequence". It matches the Rfam family "T-box leader". Rfam says of the family: Uncharged tRNA acts as the effector for transcription antitermination of genes in the T-box leader family. T-boxes are found upstream of many aminoacyl-tRNA synthetase genes and some amino acid biosynthetic genes usually in Gram-positive bacteria. The anticodon of a specific tRNA base pairs to a specifier sequence within the T-box motif, and the NCCA acceptor tail of the tRNA base pairs to a conserved bulge in the T-box antiterminator hairpin. Lineage: Bacteria; Bacillati; Bacillota; Bacilli; Lactobacillales; Enterococcaceae. The record is from RNAcentral.
AAAAACUCAUUGAAAAGAAGAGUACACAAGCAGACAUUAGAAUCUAGCUGAUUCAUUUCAUUCAGCUAGAAGUAGAGAGCUUUCGUUUGGUGCAAGAAAGUAAUGAUCCCUUGUCGAAAAUGAUCUUGGAGAGGAAAAAUCAUUUUGAUUUUUACGGCAGCUACCGUUAACCAAGCACCAAAUCAAGAAGAAAUUCGGCGUUUGGAUCGAGAUGGAACUAAAUUCCAAUAAAGGUGGUACCGCGACAGUCGCCCUUUAC